AGCGAACUUUCCAGAGAUGGAUUGGUGCCUUCGGGAGCGCUGAGACAGGUGCUGCAUGGCUGUCGUCAGCUCGUGUUGUGAAAUGUUGGGUUAAGUCCGCAACGAGCGCAACCCUUAUCCUUUGUGCCAGCGAUUCGGUCGGGAACUCAAAGGAGACUGCCGGUGAUAAACCGGAGGAAGGUGGGGAUGACGUCAAGUCAUCAUGGCCCUUACGAGUAGGGCUACACACGUGCUACAAUGGCGCAUACAAAGAGAAGCGACCUCGCGAGAGCAAGCGGACCUCAUAAAGUGCGUCGUAGUCCGGAUCGGAGUCUGCAACUCGACUCCGUGAAGUCGGAAUCGCUAGUAAUCGUGGAUCAGAAUGCCACGGUGAAUACGUUCCCGGGCCUUGUACACACCGCCCGUCACACCAUGGGAGUGGGUUGCAAAAGAAGUAGGUAGCUUAACCCUCGGGAGGGCGCUUACCACUUUGUGAUUCAUGACUGGGGUGAAGUCGUAACAAGGUAGGCGUACGUGU
Molecule: ribosomal RNA, 517 nt
Filed under: uncultured bacterium
Lineage: Bacteria
Description: bacterial SSU rRNA
Rfam family: Bacterial small subunit ribosomal RNA
Source: RNAcentral